RNAcentral lists this small RNA (485 nucleotides) under Pongo abelii (Sumatran orangutan). RNAcentral's name for it is "processed transcript". Lineage: Eukaryota; Metazoa; Chordata; Mammalia; Primates; Hominidae. The record is from RNAcentral.
AACAAAGCCAUUGAGGCUGCCCUGGCUGCCCGGAAAGAGUGGGACCUGAAGCCUAUUGCAGAUCGGGCCCAGAUCUUCCUGAAGGCGGCAGACAUGCUGAGUGGGCCGCGCAGGGCUGAGAUCCUCGCCAAGACCAUGGUGGGACAGGGUAAGACCGUGAUCCAAGCGGAGAUUGACGCUGCAGCGGAACUCAUCGACUUCUUCCGGUUCAAUGCCAAGUAUGCGGUAGAGCUGGAGGGGCAGCAGCCCAUCAGCAUGCCCCCGAGCACCAACAGCACGGUGUAUCGGGGUCUGGAGGGCUUCGUGGCGGCCAUCUCGCCCUUUAACUUCACUGCAAUCGGCGGCAACCUGGCGGGGGCACCGGCCCUGAUGCUCCGAGAGGGAGUUGUGACUCUGCCUCUUUGCCAGAUGACAAAACUGAGACACACAGCCGUGACUUACUUGGCAAGACUGAGUGACUAGUAAAUAAAUGAUGGAGCAGAGAA